AUUGAACGCUGGCGGCAGGCCUAACACAUGCAAGUCGAACGGUAACAGGAAGCAGCUUGCUGCUUUGCUGACGAGUGGCGGACGGGUGAGUAAUGUCUGGGAAACUGCCCGAUGGAGGGGGAUAACUACUGGAAACGGUAGCUAAUACCGCAUAACGUCGCAAGACCAAAGAGGGGGACCUUAGGGCCUCUUGCCAUCGGAUGUGCCCAGAUGGGAUUAGCUAGUAGGUGGGGUAACGGCUCACCUAGGCGACGAUCCCUAGCUGGUCUGAGAGGAUGACCAGCCACACUGGAACUGAGACACGGUCCAGACUCCUACGGGAGGCAGCAGUGGGGAAUAUUGCACAAUGGGCGCAAGCCUGAUGCAGCCAUGCCGCGUGUAUGAAGAAGGCCUUCGGGUUGUAAAGUACUUUCAGCGGGGAGGAAGGGAGUAAAGUUAAUACCUAUGCUCAUUGACGUUACCCGCAGAAGAAGCACCGGCUAACUCCGUG
RNAcentral lists this ribosomal RNA (490 nucleotides) under uncultured bacterium. Its description in RNAcentral is "partial 16S ribosomal RNA". It matches the Rfam family "Bacterial small subunit ribosomal RNA", at positions 30 to 507 of the family's 1533-position model. The record is from RNAcentral.